This 140-nucleotide unclassified non-coding RNA is filed under the name uncultured Ascomycota. RNAcentral's name for it is "sequence contains ITS1". The record is from RNAcentral. Lineage: Eukaryota; Fungi; Ascomycota.
CACGAUUUCGGUUUACACCGUUUUCAUCCUAUGUUUAUACGUACCACAUGUUUCCUCGGGGGGGCUUGCCCCCCCGUUAGGACACCCCUUAAACCUUUUUGUAAUAGCAGUUAGCGUCUGAAAAACUAAGUUAAUUAUUA